GCUGAGUGGAGUCAGAGCCCUUCGAGAUGCUGGUUAAGUCAACUAUUUAAGCAGCUUAACAAGCAACUGAAAAUAAGACAUUGCGGAAGCACUUAACACGUGCGAGGUAAUUUUACCAUUUGCCAGCUCUUGGGAAUCUGUGAGGAGCAAGGCCUGGCGAAGCCCUAGCCUCCUUACCAUCUGCCUGGCACAUGAUUUUAUUUAUUUGUCAGAGAGAGAGCACAAGCGCACA
Molecule: non-coding RNA, 232 nt
Organism: Leptonychotes weddellii (Weddell seal)
Lineage: Eukaryota; Metazoa; Chordata; Mammalia; Carnivora; Phocidae
Source: RefSeq, a predicted model, not a curated record